RNAcentral lists this small nuclear RNA (106 nucleotides) under Plicaturopsis crispa FD-325 SS-3. The record is from RNAcentral. Lineage: Eukaryota; Fungi; Basidiomycota; Agaricomycetes; Amylocorticiales; Amylocorticiaceae.
GUCCCCUCCGGGGUGACAUACGACAAAAUUGGAACGAUACAGAGAAGAUUAGCAUGGCCCCUGCACAAGGAUGACACGCUUUACCGGAGUGGUAUUCUCUAUGGAG